CUUGGUCAUUUAGAGGAAGUAAAAGUCGUAACAAGGUUUCCGUAGGUGAACCUGCGGAAGGAUCAUUAAAAAAGAAUUAUUCUUUACAAGUGAAUUAUACAACUGACUUGGGUGAAUAGCCCACUAAACUUUAAGUUUAAACUGAAAAUUUAUAAUGAUACAACUUUUAGCAACGGAUCUCUAGGUUCUCGCAACGAUGAAGAACGCAGCGAAUUGCGAAAAGUAAUGUGAAUUGCAUAAUUCCGUGAAUCAUCGAAUUUUUGAACGCACCUUGCACUUGUUGGAAUUCCGACAAGUAUGCCUGUUUGAGUAUCGAAGCAACAUCACAUCAAGUGGAUAUGGGCCAUCGUUUUCGUGGUCUUAAAUAUAGUUGGGUACGCUCAGUGAAGGGACGAAUUCGUCAAGAACUGAAGUACUAAACCUAAAACUUUUGAUCUCAAAUCAAGCAAGAUUACCCGCUGAACUUAAGCAUAUCAAUAAGCGGAGGA
Molecule: ribosomal RNA, 488 nt
Filed under: uncultured fungus
Lineage: Eukaryota; Fungi
Description: eukaryotic LSU rRNA
Rfam family: 5.8S ribosomal RNA (bases 162-315)
Source: RNAcentral